GGAUUAGAUACCCUGGUAGUCCAUGCUGUCAACGAUGAGUGUUAAAUAUUGGAGUUUUUUCAGUGUUACAGCUAACGCAUUAAACACUCCGCCUGGGGAAUACGGCCGCAAGGUUAAAACUCAAAGGAAUUGACGGGGAUCUGCACAAGCGGUGGAGCAUGUGGUUUAAUUCGAUAAUACGCGCAGAACCUUACCAGUCCUUGACUUAUUAAAAUUGCUAAUUUAAGUGAUUAUAUUAUGUAUAUUUUAAGACAGGUGUUGCAUGGCUGUCGUCAGCUCGUGCCG
This 285-nucleotide ribosomal RNA is filed under the name uncultured bacterium. Its description in RNAcentral is "partial 16S ribosomal RNA". It matches the Rfam family "Bacterial small subunit ribosomal RNA", at positions 775 to 1067 of the family's 1533-position model. The record is from RNAcentral.